UCCACAGCAAGUGUAUCGCCACUGUCCUCGCAUUCCUCAUCCUCUCCGUCUGGGCGGCGAUUCCUUCAGGCGGCGGCGAUUCUGGUGACAGAAGGCGGAGAGGAGAGAGCCGCAGCAGGUGUCGUGUGGGUUUUGUGGGAACUUUUUCCAGAAUGCCGAAGCUGUUGACUUCAACGUCCAUGGGACGAGUUCCGCUCUUCAGCGCGGCGAUUGUGGGGAGCGAGAAGGGAAGUGGAGGGGACCACCAUUCAAGUAUGUGAAGUACAUGCGAUUAAGUUAUAUGUGUUUUUUUUUUCAUUUGUUAGGCUAUAUGUGUGUUCAAUAUACUCUAAUGUGGUGGUAAUUUGUGUGUGCAGAGGAUUAGGUGAAAUGUUCAGUAGUUGAUUUUUGUAGUGUUGUUUGUAGUAUUCUACAUAUAUAAGUUGGAGCAGCAGCUCAUGAUUAUCUUGUUUUUGUAGUGCUCUAUACAUAUAGUAGUUUUUUUCUGGAUGUUAAAGAUGGUAUGCACAAUUGAAUACUAGUUGUGUAAUACAGUCCUAGCUUUUUUGCCUAUAUUUUUUGUAACCUGUUUGUUCGUCACUAAUCUCUAGUUUCUAGUUACUAGUUUUCGACAGUUCUACCAUAAGUACUUUUGACAGUUUUCCAUAGUUACUUACUAGUUACUAUUUUCAGCAGUUUCAUUAGCGUAAGCAUCGGUAUGAGCACCAUCAGUUACAGUCUUGCUCUCGAUCUUUUUAUUAUUAUCUUUUUGACUUUUUCCUAUGAUUCAGGAUGGUGUGCCAAUUUGUUUUGCUCAUUUUUGCAAGGUGGACAAUGGUGAGAGCUUUGGCAUGUUUUUUCCUGAUGCUGACGAAACCUUUACGGUAAACUUUUUGUUUGAUGCGACUUGCAAGUUGAACCUCGACUUGCAACUGGAUCUUUUUGUUUGAUGCCACUUGCAAGUCUGACUUUGCAAGUGGGUCUUUUUUGUUUGAUGUCACUUGCAAGUCGACCCUCGAUGUGCAACUAGGUCCUUUUGUUUGAUGUCACUUGCAAGUCGACCCUCGACUUGCAUCUGGGUCUUCUGUUUUCGUGCCACAGGCAAGUCGACCCUCGAUGUGCAACUAGGUCCUUUUGUUUGAUGUCACUUGCAAGUCGACCCUCGACUUGCAUCUGGGUCUUCUGUUUUCGUGCCACAGGCAAGUCGAGCCUCGACUUGCAACCGGGUCUUUUUGUUUGAUGUCAAAGUCGAGCAUCGACUUGCAACUCGGGUCUUUUGUUUGAUGCCACUUUGCAAGUCGACCCUUGACUUGUAACUGGGUCUUCUAUUUUUUUAUGCCAGUUUGCAACUCGACCCUCGACUUGUAACCGGGUUCUUUGUUUUAUUCCACUUGCAAGCGGACCCUCGACAUGCAACUUGGUCUUUUGUUUGAUGCCACUUGCAAGUCGCCCCACGACCUACAACUAGGACUUCUGUUUUCAUGCCACUUGCAAGUGGACCCUUGACUUGCAACCGGGUCUUUUAUUUCAUGCCACUUGUAAGUGGACCCUCGACUUGCAACUGUGUCUUCUUUUUUAUGCCACUUGCAAGUAGACCCUCGACUUGCAACUGGGUCUUUUUGUUCGAUGCUACUUGCAAGACCCUCGACUUGCAACUUGUCUUUUUUAUAAUGCCCACUUGCAAGUCGAGCCUCGACUUGCGACUGGGUCUUCUGUUUUUCAUGCCACUUGCAACUGGAAACUCGACUUGCAACUAGGUCUUUUUUGUUUGAUCACACUUGCAAGUUGACCCUCAACUUGCAACUGGGUCUUCUUGUUUGAUGCCACUUGCAAGUCGACCCUCAACUUACAACUGGGUCUUCUAUUUUUGAUGUCACUUGCAAGUGGACCCUCGACUUGCAACUAGGUCUUCUGUUUUCAUCCCACUUGCAAGUGGACCCUCGACUUGCAACCGGGUCUUCUGUUUUCAUCCCACUUGCAAGUGGACCCUCGACUUGCAAGUGGGGUCUUUUUGUUUGAUGCCACUUGCAAGUGGGGUCUUUUUGUUUGAUGCCACUUGCAAGUGGGGUCUUUUUGUUUGAUGCCACUUGCAAGUGGGGUCUUUUUGUUUGAUGCCACUUGCAAGUGGGGUCUUUUUGUUUGAUGCCACUUGCAAGUGGACCCUUGACUUGCAACCGUGUCUUUUUUUAUGCCACUUGCAAGUGGACCCUCGACUUGUAACUGCGGUUUUUUUGUUUGAUACCACUUGCAAGUCGACCCUCGACUUGCAACUGGGUCUUCUGUUUUCAUGCCACUUGCAAGUGGACCCUCGACUUGCAACUGAGUCUUUUUUGUUUGAUGCCACUUGCAAGUCGACCCUCAGUUUUCAACUGGGUCUUCUUGUUUGAUGCCACUUUGCAAGUCGACCCUCAACUUGCAACUGGGUCUUCUAUUCUUGAUGCCACUUGGAAGUGGACGCUCGACUUUGCGAUCCAAUUACUUGUUUCAUGCCACUUGCAAGCCGAGCCUCGACUUGCAACUAGGUCUUCUGUUUUCAUACCACUUGCAAGUGGACCCUCUACUUGCUACUGUGUCUUUUUGUUUAAUGCCACUUGCAAGUGGAUCCUCGACUUGCAACCGCGUCUUCUAUUUUUUUGAUGCCACUCUCAAGUGGACCCUCGACUUGCAACCGGGUUCCUUUGUUUUUCAUGCCACUUGCAAGUGGAUCCUUGACUUGCAACUACUUC
Molecule: long non-coding RNA, 2705 nt
Organism: Triticum aestivum (bread wheat)
Lineage: Eukaryota; Viridiplantae; Streptophyta; Magnoliopsida; Poales; Poaceae
Exons: 3
Source: RefSeq, a predicted model, not a curated record